Molecule: long non-coding RNA, 659 nt
Organism: Passer domesticus (house sparrow)
Lineage: Eukaryota; Metazoa; Chordata; Aves; Passeriformes; Passeridae
Exons: 2
Source: RefSeq, a predicted model, not a curated record
GUGGGAGUGGGGAAAUGGAUCUGUGAGUGAGAGCUCUCGGAAGGAAUGCUGAAACGAUUCUGCAUGGAGAACCUCGUGUUCAGGUGCCUGGGGGCUGCUCUGCUGGAAUUCAAAUGCUGUUAAAAUAAGGGCAAAGAAAAGGUCAAGAUUCUGUGGCCAGUCCUUCACUAAGAGUGAAAGAGCUUCAGCUGGGAAGAAAAGGCCCAUUUCUGCAGUAUAAAACCUCCCAUCCAUCCUGUUCCCUCCAGCCUGGCUUCCAUCACAGGGAAUGUUUAUUCUGAAAAGUCCUCAUGGCACAGUCAGAGUCUGCUCUGACCCCUGGCUGCAGCUGAGAGCUCAGGCAGCCACCCUGGGUCUGGAUCCUGCCAGGGCUGCUGUGCUGCUCCUGGGGGCACAGCCAGGGCCAAAAUCUGCAGCUUUUAAAGCUGGGCGUGCAGGGAGCUGUGGAGAGACACCGUGAGGACUGUGUGCAUGAGCUCCUGAGCCACUGCUAAAACCAGCAUCAUCUGCCAGACAUGUGCCCCGCUCAAGCUGUGCAGGGUUUGAAAGGUUUGGGUCUCAGCACUGGUAGGUCUCUGCAGGGCCCAGUCUAAGCUGACAGAUUAGCUGGCUCUGUAAGCAAAAUAAUAAUGAAUGUAAUUCUGUGUAAUUUCCAACUU